Long non-coding RNA from Dermochelys coriacea (leatherback sea turtle), 204 nucleotides. RefSeq lists it as uncharacterized. NCBI's taxonomy places the organism in Eukaryota, Metazoa, Chordata, Testudines, Dermochelyidae. The transcript is spliced from 4 exons. The record is from RefSeq and is a predicted model, not a curated record.
UUAUGAUAUUUUCUGUGACUACCAGUGUGAUGGGUUGGGUCACAGAAACCCCCUUGGGAACUGCCACCUGCUGUGCUGGGACUACCUGGAACCUGUUUUCCUUGGCAGCUUGGGACUUCAGUGCCCUGCCUGGUUGUGCCAGACAUGCUAGCCUGCUACAAACACAGACCCAGGUCUGAACCACGUCCCCCAAAAGCUGCAGGA